UUAGUAACGGCGAGUGAAGCGGCAAAAGCUCAAAUUUGAAAUCUAACGCCUCUGGUGUUCGAGUUGUAAUUUGGAGAGGCAUCUUCCGGAGGGGCCCAGCCUAUGUGCCUUGGAACAGGACGUCAUAGAGGGUGAGAAUCCCGUUCUUGGCUGGAUGUUCCCUCCUUUAUGUAGUGUCUUCUACGAGUCGAGUUGUUUGGGAAUGCAGCUCAAAAUGGGUGGUAAAUUUCAUCUAAAGCUAAAUACUGGCGAGAGACCGAUAGCGCACAAGUAGAGUGAUCGAAAGAUGAAAAGCACUUUGAAAAUAGAGUCAAAAAGUACGUGAAAUUGUUGAAAGGGAAGCGCUUGAGACCAGAGUCAGCCUUUGGCAAACAAUUGUCCUUUGGGGCGGUGCACUUGUCAUUGGUUGGGCCAGCAUCGAUUGGGACGGUGGGAUAAAGGCUUGGGAAAUGUGACUCCAUUACGGAGUGUUAUAGUCCCAGGUGUCAUGCCAUCAGUCCCGAUCGUGGACCGCGCUUUGGCUCGGAUGCUGGCUUAAUGGUCUUCA
RNAcentral lists this ribosomal RNA (547 nucleotides) under Tuber lauryi. Its description in RNAcentral is "eukaryotic LSU rRNA". It matches the Rfam family "Eukaryotic large subunit ribosomal RNA", at positions 80 to 643 of the family's 3401-position model. The record is from RNAcentral. Lineage: Eukaryota; Fungi; Ascomycota; Pezizomycetes; Pezizales; Tuberaceae.